Molecule: long non-coding RNA, 237 nt
Filed under: Elaeis guineensis (African oil palm)
Lineage: Eukaryota; Viridiplantae; Streptophyta; Magnoliopsida; Arecales; Arecaceae
Description: long non-coding RNA (EGUI_LNC005523)
Source: RNAcentral
GGCCAUGAUAACCGUUGACUCAUUAAGGUCACGAACCUCCAAGAUGGCGAUAUUAAAAUACACCAUAAAGUCUCAUAGAGAUUCUCCAUCUUACUGUCUGACGGAGAAAAAACUGUCGGAGGUUCACGGCACCCUUCAGUUGGUGCUGAAGUAUGCCAUGAAAAGUUACUCGAACUACUCGAAUGAGCAGAUACUCCCAGGUCAAAGUUCGGAGUACCAUGUUUGGGCAGUCUUCUG